AGAUUCACUCCAACAACUAGCACACUCUUAGCUUCUCCAGAAGAAGGACAACGAGCACGAAGAAGAUGAAGAUUCUCUGCUGACUCUUGUACUUGGUGUGGUUUGUGCUGACCAGGAACCUCAGUCAGAGACCGAUCACUCACUGACUCCAGGAGAAUGGUACACCACUUCCAUAGCAUCGGAUGACACAGAGAAGAUACAAGAAAAUGGCCCACUAAGGGGUUAUAGCCGUCGGAUUGAAUGUAUCAGCAAUUGCAGCGCAGUUGCCAUUACUUUCUAUCAAAAGAUUAAUGGGGAAUGCCGGAAGUACAUAGUAGUGGGAACAAGCACAAAAGAUGAUAUUUACAAGGUUGACUUCUUAGGUGAAAAUUAUUUCCAAUUUAUUUUUAAGUCAAGUGACAGCUUGGUAAUAUACGGUGAAAAUGUUGAUGACGAAGGCAAGGUCACACUUGUGACUGAACUCCUUGCAAAAGAACAUAGUGUCAGUGAACAAGAUUAUCAGAAAAAGAACUGACUGAGGAGAAGGGUAUUCCAGCAGAAAAUAUAGAAGACAUCAUCAACACAGAUGACUGUCCUAACUAGGAACAUCGGUUGAGAAGACAAUGACAUGGAGAAUAUAAGCAACGUCAUCUCCAAUGCAUCAGAGUCAUCGAUACAAAGAUAAAAUAGCCUUUUCUUUCAAAUUGUAAUUUCUUCUUCCCUGGGAAAUCAUGAUCCUGUCCUCGUGACUUUACUUCCAGUCACCUUCUAUGCCCUGCUUGAUGUUACUGGAUUCCUAACUGAUUAAAUAAAGUGAUCAAUAUGCA
This is a long non-coding RNA of Equus quagga, 806 nucleotides long. RefSeq lists it as uncharacterized. The transcript has 7 exons. The record is from RefSeq and is a predicted model, not a curated record. Lineage: Eukaryota; Metazoa; Chordata; Mammalia; Perissodactyla; Equidae.